AAACUGGUAGAGUGUAUGAGAGACUGUAUGACUAGAGAGAAAUAGAGGGAAGCGGAAUUCCGGGUGUAGUGGUGAAAUGCGUAGAUAUCCGGAGGAAUACCGGUGGCGAAGGCGGCUUCCUGGAUUUCAGCUGACGCUGAGGCGCGAAAGCGUGGGUAGCGAACGGGAUUAGAAACCCCGGUAGUCCACGCUGUAAACGAUGUACAUUAGGCGUUCGGUUGCCGUUAGGUGAUUGAGUGUCGAAGCAAACGCGAUAAAUGUACCGCCUGGGGAGUACGGUCGCAAGGCUAAAACUCAAAGGAAUUGACGGGGGCCCGCACAAGCAGCGGAGCGUGUGGUUUAAUUCGAGGCUACGCGAAGAACCUUACCUGGGUUUGACAUGUUGGUAGUACGGAAGCGAAAGCGGAAGGAACCUUCGGGUAGCCAUCACAGGUGCUGCAUGGUUGUCGUCAGCUCGUGCCGUGAGGUGUUCGGUUAAGUCCGCAAACGAGCGCAACCCUCGGAGCUAGUUACAAGUGUCUAGCUUGACUGCCCGUGACAAACGGGAGGAAGGUGGGGAUGACGUCAAAUCAGCAUGGCCUUUAUAUCCAGGGCGACACACACGCUACAAUGGUCGAUACAAUGGGUAGCGAAGGCGCGAGUUGGAGCGAAUCCUAAAAAGUCGAUCUCAGUUCGGAUUGCAGGCUGCAACUCGCCUGCAUGAAGUCGGAGUUGCUAGUAACCGCGAAUCAGCACGUUGCGGUGAAUACGUUCCCGGGCCUUGUACACACCGCCCGUCACGUCAUGGGAGUUGGUCGAGCCUGAAGUCGGGAAGCUAACCUACGGGGGGCUACUGCCUAGGGCAGGAUUGAUGACUGGACGAAGUC
Molecule: ribosomal RNA, 866 nt
Filed under: uncultured bacterium
Lineage: Bacteria
Description: bacterial SSU rRNA
Rfam family: Bacterial small subunit ribosomal RNA
Source: RNAcentral